RNA transcript from Acanthopagrus latus (yellowfin seabream), 1804 nucleotides. RefSeq lists it as uncharacterized. The record is from RefSeq and is a predicted model, not a curated record. NCBI's taxonomy places the organism in Eukaryota, Metazoa, Chordata, Actinopteri, Spariformes, Sparidae. The transcript is spliced from 7 exons.
AAUAGAAGUGAUUCGAGUUUAACUGUCAUGAUGGGCAGUGUGGGUGUUAAUUAUCAAGUUAUUUUAACACACUAAUCAACCACAAAGAGGAAACUGCAGCAUCACCUACAGAUCUGCUGCAGAGAAGAAAAGCCUCACACGACGUCUGCCUGCUGACAGAGAACGACACAAAAUGUCUCUGCUGGGAUUAAUCUUUAUUUCUGUGCUUCAGUUUGAAGGCGUAAGUGGAGAAGUAAAAUAUCUCUACAGCAGAGCUGGACAUGAUGCCAUCCUGUCCUGUGGCAGAGCAUCAUCCUCUGAUCCAACAUGCUCUCAUGUUACAUGGCUGUAUGACAAAGAUCGAGCUCAGUCUUUCACUGAAGUUUCAGAGGGAAAAGUUAAGCUGGACUCAGUCCGAGCUGUCAGGUUGAGUCUGGACACUUCCUGCUCUUUGAUCAUUAAAAAAAUCACUGCUGAGGAUGCUGCUUUCUACACUUGUCGACAGGGGAACAAUCCUCAUACAGAUACAUCUACAUAUCUAAGUGUUCUGACAAUCUCUCCAUCUCCACCAGACGCUGAUCCAAAGAGGGACGCUGAAGUCACAUUAGAGUGUUCCCUGUUCAGACACAUUGAUCUCCAUCACUGUCCACAGAUCAGCAUCCGCUGGAUGGAUGAGACAGGAACUGUGCUGCUUGGUGAAGGUGAAGGGUACAAGUUCCAUGGACAGAAGAACUGUGUGUCUUCUCUCACUGUGAAGCGUCAGAGUGGCCACAACAGGAGAUACACCUGUCAGCUGGUUGAUGAGGAGAACAAUGUGGAGAUAGAAGCUGAGUACACACCUGUCUUCACAGGAGACCAUCAGUCAGACACACCUGGUACAGAUUCCACAAAUGUCCCUCUGAGCUCCAUCAUGUCGACUCUGAGAGUUGCAGGACUGAUCCUGAUGAUUGUCAUCACUGUUCUUGUCAUCAGAGGCACAAGGAGCAGAAAACCACCUGAUGAUGACAAAAAUGUGUGUACGGAUGGUGAUGAAGUCAGCUAUGAAAAUGAUGAAGCACGUCCUGCUGCGACCAGACUGGACUGAUCAGCAGCUUCCACACCGACGUCAACAUCAUCUCUCAUGACUAACCCAAGCUUUGAGUUUAAGUGAUCGUCCUGUGUUUGGGAUACAGUGUUUGUUCAUUUCACAGCUUAAAUGAUGUAAAAACUUUCACUGUUUCUGUUCCAACAACAAGCAGCUGUUUUGUAGUUUCAGUUGAUAAAAGAUUCUCAUUCUUAUCAGUGUUUUUCAGAUAAGUGGCCAGAAUAACUGUUGGUAAAUCACAUUUCUACUAAACCACAAACAUGUUGAAACUUUACAUUUCUGUAUGAAGAAAAUGAAGAAGUGCAAAGUGUAUAAACACAAACUGUGUGUGUUUACUUGAGGAACGUGUAGAGUUGCAUUAGAUCUAUUUGAGUCAUUUUGUUCAAGAAACGUGUCAAAGUCAGGAAGUCAGAUGCUCUUAAAAUUGAAUUUCUUUGUAAACUAUAAAAUGACACAACUUCAGAUUGUGAAACACAAGAGUGUUGUGUGCAGUCUGUUUGGUAGAAACAGAAGUGACGUGUGUAUAACUGUCAUGAUGGGCAGUGUGAGUGUUAAUUCAAGAGUUCUUUUAACACACUAAUCAACCACAAAGAGGAAACUGCAGCAUCACCUACAGAUCUGCUGCAGAGAAGAAAAGCCUCACACGACGUCUGCCUGCUGACAGAGAACGACACAAAAUGUCUCUGCUGGGAUUAAUCUUUAUUUCUGUGCUUCAGUUUGAAGUCUCUCCAUCUCCACCAG